This 701-nucleotide unclassified non-coding RNA is filed under the name Hevea brasiliensis (rubber tree). The record is from RNAcentral. Lineage: Eukaryota; Viridiplantae; Streptophyta; Magnoliopsida; Malpighiales; Euphorbiaceae.
UUUUGGCCUUAUAGGGGAUCUUGGUCAAACUUAUGAUUCGAAUCGGACACUAACAAGUUAUGAAUCGAAUCCGGCAAAAGGAAAGACAGUUCUGUAUGUUGGGGACCUGUCUUAUGCUGACCAUUAUCCAGAUCAUAACAACGUAAGGUGGGACACAUGGGGAAGAUUCACAGAAAGAAGUGUUGCUUACCAACCUUGGAUUUGGUCUGCAGGGAAUCAUGAAGUUGACUGGGCUCCUCAACUCGGUGAACCUAAACCCUUUAAGCCUUUUACGCACAGAUAUCAUACCCCAUAUAAAGCAUCAAAUAGCACAUCCCCUCUUUGGUACUCCAUCAAGAGAGCUUCUGCUUACGUUAUUGUCUUGUCCACUUACUCAGCUUUAGGUAAAUACACUCCUCAAAACUUCUGGCUAGAGGAAGAACUGCCUAAGGUAGACAGGAAUGAGACACCAUGGCUUAUAGUUGUUAUGCAUGGCCCAAUGUAUAACUCUUACGUAUCUCACUAUAUGGAAGGUGAAACCAUGAGAGCUCUGCACGAGAAAUUGCUUGUCCAGUACAAAGUUGAUAUUGUCUUUGCUGGCCAUGUUCAUGCCUACGAACGAUCUGAACCUGUGUCAAAUAUCGCAUACAAUAUCACAAACAAGGAAUGCACUCCUAAAAUUGAUCAGACUGCCCCUGUUUACAUAACCAUUGGAGAUGGAG